CACCUCUCAAGCUCAGCUUGGUAUUGGGUGCCGUCCCCAGGGGCGCAUCUGGAAAGUAGCGGCGGUGCGGCCGGUGAUCAAGCGUAGUAACUACUCCCGCUUUGAGACACCCGGGCGUGCCAGCCGGAUAACACCCAAAUUUUUCAAU
This 148-nucleotide unclassified non-coding RNA is filed under the name uncultured fungus. Its description in RNAcentral is "sequence contains ITS2". Lineage: Eukaryota; Fungi. The record is from RNAcentral.